This 253-nucleotide ribosomal RNA is filed under the name uncultured bacterium. Its description in RNAcentral is "partial 16S ribosomal RNA". It matches the Rfam family "Bacterial small subunit ribosomal RNA", at positions 524 to 776 of the family's 1533-position model. The record is from RNAcentral.
UACGUAGGGUGCGAGCGUUAAUCGGAAUUACUGGGCGUAAAGCGUGCGCAGGCGGUUUCGUAAGACAGAUGUGAAAUCCCCGGGCUUAACCUGGGAACUGCAUUUGUGACUGCGAGACUAGAGUGUAGCAGAGGGGGGUAGAAUUCCACGUGUAGCAGUGAAAUGCGUAGAGAUGUGGAGGAAUACCGAUGGCGAAGGCAGCCCCCUGGGCUAACACUGACGCUCAUGCACGAAAGCGUGGGGAGCAAACAGG